UUUGGACUUCUUUUUUGGAAAUUUGCUUUUGAUUUUUAUGAUUAUUGUUUUAUGCAGAAUUCACACAGGUGGCAUUCCGUACUGCGAUUGGUUUUGUUGUGAUGGGGUUUGUUGGGUUCUUUGUCAAAUUGAUUUUCAUCCCUAUCAAUAACAUCAUUGUUGGAUCUGGUUAAGACAUUAGGAAAUAGAAGUUAUAUGGCUUUAAAGAGCAGAAGUUAGGAACCUGCAAGGAUGCUAAACUACACGGUCUCAGGCUUCUUCUUUGUGUAUCUUCUUUUUGGACAAAGCUCCUCAUCUGUUAAACAUAUUUAAGAGCAACAGUUAAAUUCAUUUUACUUUCUUUUUCUCUUUUAGGAAUAACAUUGAAAUUAGUUCCUUUUCUUUUUUCUGUUUACCCUUAAAUAUAGAGUGUAGAAGGGGUAACUCUCUCACCAGUUUCUGGUUCAAAUGUAUCUAUAUUUGAAGGUUUCGUUUGUUGGGUUUUUAAUUUUUGAGUUAGUAAGGUGCA
Molecule: long non-coding RNA, 508 nt
Organism: Papaver somniferum (opium poppy)
Lineage: Eukaryota; Viridiplantae; Streptophyta; Magnoliopsida; Ranunculales; Papaveraceae
Exons: 2
Source: RefSeq, a predicted model, not a curated record